GUUUAUUUCCAUGUAAAACACAGAUGAAAUCAGGACUUUCAUUUCUUUAGCCAUAUUAGUAGUAGGCAUUAAUAGUAUAUAGCCAAAAAGCAAAACAAACAAAAAAAGUUGAAGGGUAGUUUUAAUUAAGCCCUCCAAAAUAUAAAUUUAACUCUUCAGAAUUAAACACCCUGCUCUAUGGACCAACAGAAGCACUUGCUGCCAAACCUAGUGGACUCCUUGAGAAAGUAUCUGUGGCCAUGUCCAUGUGGGUCAUGUGGAGCGAGAACUCACUCCCACAGUUGUCCUCUAAGCUCCACAGACGGCCGUGGUGCAUUGCGCUGACACACAUAAUUCAUAAACGUAAUAAACAACCACUGUUCUAAAGAGUCAGCUCUUACAUGACUCCCAUUUUAAAGGACUCUAAGCUUUGCUUUCCUUUAUAGCAUAAGAAAAUAAUUUCCUAUUCAUAUGCUGGGAGAGGAGAUAAGUAAACUACCAAAAUAGCUCCUAUGUAUAAUCAUGUGUUUAUCCAGUUAGCACUGUAAAAGGAACAUACAUAUUACUAAGAAGCAAAAAAUUUUCAGAGUAUUUUGAUUUUUUUAAUUAAAUCACUAUGCUUAAUCUUCUAUUUUGUUCUCCUUAUAAAUUUUUCCUUCAUAAAUUACUUAACAUACUUAUAGCUACUAAUGAGUCUUUUACAUUUUUUGAGCAAAACAAAACAAAUUGUCAGGAAAAUAUUGCAUACAUUGUGAUACUGAUGAAAUGAAGCAUUUUAAAAAUAUAUUACACAAUUGUGCUUCUAAACUUAAUGUAAAAUGCAUAGUAUUCAAGUGGGACAUGAAAUGCACUAUUAUGCAGCUUGAAAUGUAUCGAUUUCCAAAGUGAGUGUGAGCCGGGUGCAGCGGCACUAGGCGUCGAUCCCGGCACUCUGGAGGCAGAGGCAGGCAGAUCUCUGAGUCCUAGGCCAGCCAGGGUUGCGGAUUAAAACCUUGACCGUAUCUCAUAUUACCUUUGUGCUAAUAUCUACAUAAUCUAACUUGCCUUAGAAAACUGCAUCUUCUAAUCAGGAAUUCUAGAUAUUCCUAUAAUACCAAAUUAAGUAUUUUGACUGAGAUUCAUAAAUUUAGAAUCAUUUGCCACUGAUUAAAACUUUAAAAAUUCUUUUCUCAGGAAGCCAAUGAAAGUUAACUUCUAUCCUAUUAUUAGAACUAUGCAGAUAUAUUAAAACAUUUUAAUGAAGGCUUUUUCAUUUCAAAUGUAUAACUGGGUUUUAUUUACUAUAAAGUAAUAAAACUAUAUAAAUGAUACUUUUAGAUUGAAAGAGGGUAGUAAGAGUAGCAAAUCCUAAGUUACAGUGUGAGAUGCUAUCUCCCAAAACAUCCUCACAAACAAAAACACUAGUGUAUCAUUUCACCAUAAAGAAUACCUCAGGAGCCUAGGACAAAACUCAGUAAUGGAGUCACACCAGCCUUAGGACCUGAGUUUGAACUUGGAGACAAGUUGUUCUCUGGAUUUACAAGGUAGCCAACUCAGCCUAACUAGCGAGCCCCAGAUCCAAGGGCUCAAUCCUGUAUCAAAAAAAGCAAGGUGGAUGGCUCCUGAGGAAUGACAGCCAAGACUGACAUCUGGCUUCCACAUCCACACACACAUAUGCACACAUUCAGAAAUAUAGAUGUAUACACAAAAAAGAUAUCUCAGGAUGCUGUUACUCUGCCAUUAAAAGUUUGCAAUCGUGAAUUUUUAAAAUACUUGGUUAUGCACAUUGUAGAAUACAUUUCUGUUCAUAUAACUAACUUGUAACCAAUCUUAAUAGUCUUUCUUAAUAGUCUUUGGGAAUUAAGAGAGUCAUAGGUGAUUAAAAUGUAUAUGCUUUGUAUUUGUGUUUAGCAUUUUAAAUCUGUCUUUACUUCUGAUAAUAAGAACCCACAUUUCUUCGGUGUGCCUUUGUCAGCUAAGAAUGUCAAGCAGUGAUUACCUUAAAAGUAUUUAUGAACUAUUGUACGUGCAUUUAGGCAAAUAGAGUUUGUAGCCCAGGGUCCUGGUGCUAAAUUCUUACAUGCCUCACUAGAAGUAUGGAGCAGAAAAGCAGGCGUUCCUGUGCUUUCCCCAUCUCUUUAGAUGUGCGUGGCCUUGCCUGACUGCCUUUGCUUGUGUGACAUCACUUAGCCAGAGUCCCCACUGCUGGCUUUGCUCACUUCUCUUUAGACAAUAUUCCAGUAAGCUUGAUCUCAUAAUUAUGUAGUAAUUCAUCUAGAGAUGGUGCCUUUCACUGUGGGGUAUAACAUUAGAGCCCUUAGUAAGGAAGGAGAUGGAGGUCUAAAUGGGGCCAAGACAAAGACUUUAUCUAGUUCCUAUUAAUUGUAGGCUUUCACUGGCUGCUGGCAUUUGUCAUUGAACAUCUCUGAGUUUCUGAGAACAAUCUGAAGUAAUUCAUUGUGCUUAUGAAAUUUCUAAGUGCCCUUUUUGUCCUUAGUUACCAUAAUGUAACAUGGAAAAUGGAUACACAAAAAAUAUUUUGUGUGUCAUAUUCAAAGCCUUAUUAAUACUUUGCCUGAAAUAGGACAUUUUGCCUCAUUCAUUUGCCAAAGUAGCCAAUUCCAAAAUAAGGAAACUUUGAUGUGGGCUGACAAUAUUCUUGUGUUUUAUUUUAGAUUGUAAACUUGAUGGUAAGAAAUUAUAUCAAUAAUUGUGCUUUUUAUGUACCAACCAUUGCUGUGUACUUUUGGUGCUUAAUAAAUAUUCAUAAUUAUUAUAGUG
This 2739-nucleotide long non-coding RNA is filed under the name Rattus norvegicus (Norway rat). Its description in RNAcentral is "long non-coding RNA NONRATT017367". The record is from RNAcentral. Lineage: Eukaryota; Metazoa; Chordata; Mammalia; Rodentia; Muridae.